RNAcentral lists this microRNA precursor (207 nucleotides) under Nicotiana attenuata. RNAcentral's name for it is "pre miRNA MIR164". It matches the Rfam family "MIR164 microRNA precursor family". Lineage: Eukaryota; Viridiplantae; Streptophyta; Magnoliopsida; Solanales; Solanaceae. The record is from RNAcentral.
GUGAUCAAGAUGGAGAAGCAGGGCACGUGCAUUACUAACUCAUGCACAAGAAUUGUCAGUGAUCAGUUCGAAAAGUUUUAUGGCAUUCAUCUGACAUCAUAAUUCAUAGUACCAUUAAAGUACUUCCUAGCAUAGUGGAAAAUAAUGUGUUUCAGUUGUGGUAAAUGAGUUAGUUCUUCAUGUGCCUGUCUUCCCCAUCAUGACCAC